RNAcentral lists this ribosomal RNA (2135 nucleotides) under Shigella flexneri. Its description in RNAcentral is "partial 23S ribosomal RNA". It matches the Rfam family "Bacterial large subunit ribosomal RNA", at positions 55 to 2215 of the family's 2925-position model. Lineage: Bacteria; Pseudomonadati; Pseudomonadota; Gammaproteobacteria; Enterobacterales; Enterobacteriaceae. The record is from RNAcentral.
GACGUGCUAAUCUGCGAUAAGCGUCGGUAAGGUGAUAUGAACCGUUAUAACCGGCGAUUUCCGAAUGGGGAAACCCAGUGUGAUUCGUCACACUAUCAUUAACUGAAUCCAUAGGUUAAUGAGGCGAACCGGGGGAACUGAAACAUCUAAGUACCCCGAGGAAAAGAAAUCAACCGAGAUUCCCCCAGUAGCGGCGAGCGAACGGGGAGCAGCCCAGAGCCUGAAUCAGUGUGUGUGUUAGUGGAAGCGUCUGGAAAGGCGUGCGAUACAGGGUGACAGCCCCGUACACAAAAAUGCACAUACUGUGAGCUCGAUGAGUAGGGCGGGACACGUGGUAUCCUGUCUGAAUAUGGGGGGACCAUCCUCCAAGGCUAAAUACUCCUGACUGACCGAUAGUGAACCAGUACCGUGAGGGAAAGGCGAAAAGAACCCCGGCGAGGGGAGUGAAAAAGAACCUGAAACCGUGUACGUACAAGCAGUGGGAGCACGCUUAGGCGUGUGACUGCGUACCUUUUGUAUAAUGGGUCAGCGACUUAUAUUCUGUAGCAAGGUUAACCGAAUAGGGGAGCCGAAGGGAAACCGAGUCUUAACUGGGCGUUAAGUUGCAGGGUAUAGACCCGAAACCCGGUGAUCUAGCCAUGGGCAGGUUGAAGGUUGGGUAACACUAACUGGAGGACCGAACCGACUAAUGUUGAAAAAUUAGCGGAUGACUUGUGGCUGGGGGUGAAAGGCCAAUCAAACCGGGAGAUAGCUGGUUCUCCCCGAAAGCUAUUUAGGUAGCGCCUCGUGAAUUCAUCUCCGGGGGUAGAGCACUGUUUCGGCAAGGGGGUCAUCCCGACUUACCAACCCGAUGCAAACUGCGAAUACCGGAGAAUGUUAUCACGGGAGACACACGGCGGGUGCUAACGUCCGUCGUGAAGAGGGAAACAACCCAGACCGCCAGCUAAGGUCCCAAAGUCAUGGUUAAGUGGGAAACGAUGUGGGAAGGCCCAGACAGCCAGGAUGUUGGCUUAGAAGCAGCCAUCAUUUAAAGAAAGCGUAAUAGCUCACUGGUCGAGUCGGCCUGCGCGGAAGAUGUAACGGGGCUAAACCAUGCACCGAAGCUGCGGCAGCGACGCUUAUGCGUUGUUGGGUAGGGGAGCGUUCUGUAAGCCUGUGAAGGUGUGCUGUGAGGUAUGCUGGAGGUAUCAGAAGUGCGAAUGCUGACAUAAGUAACGAUAAAGCGGGUGAAAAGCCCGCUCGCCGGAAGACCAAGGGUUCCUGUCCAACGUUAAUCGGGGCAGGGUGAGUCGACCCCUAAGGCGAGGCCGAAAGGCGUAGUCGAUGGGAAACAGGUUAAUAUUCCUGUACUUGGUGUUACUGCGAAGGGGGGACGGAGAAGGCUAUGUUGGCCGGGCGACGGUUGUCCCGGUUUAAGCGUGUAGGCUGGUUUUCCAGGCAAAUCCGGAAAAUCAAGGCCGAGGCGUGAUGACGAGGCACUACGGUGCUGAAGCAACAAAUGCCCUGCUUCCAGGAAAAGCCUCUAAGCAUCAGGUAACAUCAAAUCGUACCCCAAACCGACACAGGUGGUCAGGUAGAGAAUACCAAGGCGCUUGAGAGAACUCGGGUGAAGGAACUAGGCAAAAUGGUGCCGUAACUUCGGGAGAAGGCACGCUGAUACGUAGGUGAAGCGACUUGCUCGUGGAGCUGAAAUCAGUCGAAGAUACCAGCUGGCUGCAACUGUUUAUUAAAAACACAGCACUGUGCAAACACGAAAGUGGACGUAUACGGUGUGACGCCUGCCCGGUGCCGGAAGGUUAAUUGAUGGGGUUAGCGCAAGCGAAGCUCUUGAUCGAAGCCCCGGUAAACGGCGGCCGUAACUAUAACGGUCCUAAGGUAGCGAAAUUCCUUGUCGGGUAAGUUCCGACCUGCACGAAUGGCGUAAUGAUGGCCAGGCUGUCUCCACCCGAGACUCAGUGAAAUUGAACUCGCUGUGAAGAUGCAGUGUACCCGCGGCAAGACGGAAAGACCCCGUGAACCUUUACUAUAGCUUGACACUGAACAUUGAGCCUUGAUGUGUAGGAUAGGUGGGAGGCUUUGAAGUGUGGACGCCAGUCUGCAUGGAGCCGACCUUGAAAUACCACCCUUUAAUGUUU